Molecule: long non-coding RNA, 716 nt
Filed under: Nicotiana benthamiana
Lineage: Eukaryota; Viridiplantae; Streptophyta; Magnoliopsida; Solanales; Solanaceae
Description: long non-coding RNA (NBEN_LNC023698)
Source: RNAcentral
CUGCAUACACACUACCCUCCCCUGACCCCACUAAGUGGGAUUAUACUGGGUUGUUGUUGUUGUUGUUGUUGUUGGGAGUAUGCGUACAUACUACCCUCCCCAAACCCCACUAAGUGGGAUUAUACUGGGUUGUUGUUGUUGUUGUUGUUGUUGUACGUAGUUUUUCGUUUAUAAAGUAAAAAAACUUCUUCUGUAAUCAUAUGAAGGUUCUGAAUUUGUAUCGGGAAAAAAUUGAGUUUUUAUUAAAGGUGACGUGGCAUGACACGUGGAUUGGUCAAACAGUCAAAUAGCAAUAAAUGAUUAAAAGGCACGGAAGACAACAUGCACGGUAGGAGAAAAGAAAAUAGACACGAGAGAGAAUCUUAGAUACGAUUCUCGUAUUUAUCCAAGUCAUUCAAUAUCAAUGGAUAAAAAGUGCAUUGAAGACACGAACCUGAUGACAAAAAGUAGUCUACAUUCAUUAUUAAAUACCUGAUACGUUAGUUAUUCAAUAUUUAAUAGCAAUGAUUAUGUAANNNNNNNNNNNNNNNNNNNNNNNNACAUUCAUUAUUAAAUACCUGAUACGUUAGUUAUUCAGUAUUUAAUAGCAAUGAUUAUGUAACGUCCCAUUAAAUGCUCUUUAUUACUUAGAAUAAUCCGUUACUCCUUGUCAACUAUAAAAGGAGGAAAUUUUAUCAUUUGUUGACACACGGAACUUUCUUGAUAUCAUAGUGGAA